AGUUUGAGCUAAAUAUAAUAUAAAUAUUAGCUUAUCUAUAAAAGGUGUAGUAAUACCUUUUUAAUAAUUAUAUUUAGGGGUGAUAGGCUUAUCAAAAACUAAGAUAUCUUGAAUCUAAAUAAAAGUAUGUAGUACUAAUUUCAACACGACUAUAAAGUGAUUAGGCUUUAUAGAACAUAUUAAUUCUUUAUAAAAAUUAAUUAAUUAUAAUUUAAUAAUUAAAUAUUUUAAUAUAUUAAUAUUUAUAUAUUGUAAUUAUAUUAAAGUAUUUAGAUAGUUUUAAAAAGUCUUAUAUAAACUAUAUAAUGUUUAUAUUAGUAUUUAAAGUUUAUAUGUUUACAUAAUGAACUCGGCAAUAAUGCUUUUCAACUGUUUAUCAAAAACAUAACUAUAUGAAUAAAUAUAUAUAGCAAUUUCUGCUCAAUGAUUUAGAUUAAAUAGCCGCAGUAUUCUGACUGUGCAAAGGUAGCAUAAUCAAUUGACUUAUAAUUGAAGUCUAGAAUGAAUGAAAUUAAUGGAAAGCCACUAUAUCUUUUGUAAAUAUACAUAAAUUAUUUAUGAAGUGAAAAUACUUCUAUAAAAAUAAUAGACGAGAAGCCCCUAGAAAUUUUUAGAAAUUUAAAUUUUUUUUUAAAAUUUUUUUGUUGGGGCGACAAGGAAGCAAUCAUAACCUUCUUAUUAACAACUUGCACUUUUUUUGUUGUAUGAAAAAAUUACUCUAGGGAUAACAGCAUAAUAUUUAAAAGUUUAUGACCUCGAUGUUGGACUAGGAAAUAAUAACUUAAAAGGUUUUUUAUAUGCUCUGUUCGGCAUUAACUCCUACAUGAUC
Molecule: ribosomal RNA, 829 nt
Filed under: Mandarina hirasei
Lineage: Eukaryota; Metazoa; Mollusca; Gastropoda; Stylommatophora; Camaenidae
Description: partial 16S ribosomal RNA
Source: RNAcentral